GCCUUCGUGGUGUAGUGGUCAGCACGCUUGACGCGUAACCGAGAGGUCCGUGGUUCGAUUCCCGGCAAAGGCG
RNAcentral lists this transfer RNA (73 nucleotides) under Stegodyphus mimosarum. It matches the Rfam family "tRNA". Rfam says of the family: Transfer RNA (tRNA) molecules are approximately 80 nucleotides in length. Their secondary structure includes four short double-helical elements and three loops (D, anti-codon, and T loops). The record is from Rfam by way of RNAcentral. Lineage: Eukaryota; Metazoa; Arthropoda; Arachnida; Araneae; Eresidae.